UACGGAGGGUGCAAACGUUGCUCGGAAUCAUUGGGCGUAAAGCGCACGUAGGCGGACUCUUAAGUCGGUGGUGAAAUCCUGGAGCUCAACUCCAGAACUGCCUUCGAUACUGGGAGUCUCGAGUCCGGGAGAGGUGAGUGGAACUGCGAGUGUAGAGGUGAAAUUCGUAGAUAUUCGCAAGAACACCAGUGGCGAAGGCGGCUCACUGGCCCGGUACUGACGCUGAGGUGCGAAAGCGUGGGGAGCAAACAGG
Molecule: ribosomal RNA, 253 nt
Filed under: uncultured bacterium
Lineage: Bacteria
Description: partial 16S ribosomal RNA
Rfam family: Bacterial small subunit ribosomal RNA
Source: RNAcentral